GAUGAACGCUGGCGGCGUGCUUAACACAUGCAAGUCGAACGGUGAAGGCGGAGCUUGCUCUGCUGGAUCAGUGGCGAACGGGUGAGUAACACGUGAGCAAUCUGCCCCUGACUCUGGGAUAAGCGCUGGAAACGGCGUCUAAUACUGGAUACGAGCUGCGAAGGCAUCUUCAGCAGCUGGAAAGAACUUCGGUCAGGGAUGAGCUCGCGGCCUAUCAGCUUGUUGGUGAGGCAACGGCUCACCAAGGCGUCGACGGGUAGCCGGCCUGAGAGGGUGACCGGCCACACUGGGACUGAGACACGGCCCAGACUCCUACGGGAGGCAGCAGUGGGGAAUAUUGCACAAUGGGCGAAAGCCUGAUGCAGCAACGCCGCGUGAGGGACGACGGCCUUCGGGUUGUAAACCUCUUUUAGCAGGGAAGAAGCGAAAGUGACGGUACCUGCAGAAAAAGCGCCGGCUAACUACGUG
This 468-nucleotide ribosomal RNA is filed under the name uncultured bacterium. RNAcentral's name for it is "partial 16S ribosomal RNA". It matches the Rfam family "Bacterial small subunit ribosomal RNA", at positions 28 to 507 of the family's 1533-position model. The record is from RNAcentral.